This 791-nucleotide ribosomal RNA is filed under the name Halomonas sp. G2.5. Its description in RNAcentral is "bacterial SSU rRNA". It matches the Rfam family "Bacterial small subunit ribosomal RNA", at positions 35 to 817 of the family's 1533-position model. Lineage: Bacteria; Pseudomonadati; Pseudomonadota; Gammaproteobacteria; Oceanospirillales; Halomonadaceae. The record is from RNAcentral.
GCUGGCGGCAGGCCUAACUCAUGCAAGUCGAGCGGAAACGAUGGAAGCUUGCUUCCAGGCGUCGAGCGGCGGACGGGUGAGUAAUGCAUAGGAAUCUGCCCGGUAGUGGGGGAUAACUUGGGGAAACCCAAGCUAAUACCGCAUACGCCCUACGGGGGAAAGCAGGGGAUCUUCGGACCUUGCGCUAUCGGAUGAGCCUAUGUCGGAUUAGCUAGUUGGUGAGGUAAUGGCUCACCAAGGCCGCGAUCCGUAGCUGGUCUGAGAGGAUGAUCAGCCACAUCGGGACUGAGACACGGCCCGAACUCCUACGGGAGGCAGCAGUGGGGAAUAUUGGACAAUGGGCGAAAGCCUGAUCCAGCCAUGCCGCGUGUGUGAAGAAGGCCCUCGGGUUGUAAAGCACUUUCAGUGAGGAAGAACGCUUGUGGGUUAAUACCCUGCAAGGAAGACAUCACUCACAGAAGAAGCACCGGCUAACUCCGUGCCAGCAGCCGCGGUAAUACGGAGGGUGCGAGCGUUAAUCGGAAUUACUGGGCGUAAAGCGCGCGUAGGCGGCUUGAUAAGCCGGUUGUGAAAGCCCCGGGCUCAACCUGGGAACGGCAUCCGGAACUGUCAGGCUAGAGUGCAGGAGAGGAAGGUAGAAUUCCCGGUGUAGCGGUGAAAUGCGUAGAGAUCGGGAGGAAUACCAGUGGCGAAGGCGGCCUUNUGGACUGACACUGACGCUGAGGUGCGAAAGCGUGGGUAGCAAACAGGAUUAGAUACCCUGGUAGUCCACGCCGUAAACNAUGUCNACU